AGAUUGAACGCUGGCGGCAGGCCUAACACAUGCAAGUCGAGCGGUAGAGAGGUGCUUGCAUCUCUUGAGAGCGGCGGACGGGUGAGUAAUGCCUAGGAAUCUGCCUAGUGGUGGGGGAUAACGUUCGGAAACGGACGCUAAUACCGCAUACGUCCUACGGGAGAAAGCGGGGGACCUUCGGGCCUCGCGCCAUUAGAUGAGCCUAGGUCGGAUUAGCUAGUUGGUGAGGUAAUGGCUCACCAAGGCGACGAUCCGUAACUGGUCUGAGAGGAUGAUCAGUCACACUGGAACUGAGACACGGUCCAGACUCCUACGGGAGGCAGCAGUGGGAAUAUUGGACAAUGGGCGAAAGGCCUAGGAUCCAGCCCAAUGCCGCGUGUGUGGAAGAAGGUCUUCGGAUUAGUAAAGCUACGUUUAAGUUGGGAAGGAAGGUUGUAAACCUAAUACGUUGACUAGUUUAGACGUUACGACAGAAUAACGCACCGGACUAACUUCGUGCCAGCCUAGCCGUA
This 512-nucleotide ribosomal RNA is filed under the name uncultured soil bacterium. RNAcentral's name for it is "bacterial SSU rRNA". It matches the Rfam family "Bacterial small subunit ribosomal RNA", at positions 26 to 522 of the family's 1533-position model. The record is from RNAcentral.